This 1049-nucleotide ribosomal RNA is filed under the name Biston falcata. RNAcentral describes it as "partial 16S ribosomal RNA". Lineage: Eukaryota; Metazoa; Arthropoda; Insecta; Lepidoptera; Geometridae. The record is from RNAcentral.
AUUAAUAAUUAAUAUAUUUAAUAAAAAUAAUUUUAAUUUAAUAAAUAUUUUAAUGGGGGUUAAAGUAUUUUUUAAAGAAAAAAUUUUUAAAUUUAUAGUUAAUUAGUAUUGUGAAAGAAUUUUGAAAUAUUAUGAAAAAUAAAAUUUUUAGAAAGUAAUUUUUAUUUAUUGUAUCUUGUGUAUCAGAGUUUAUUAAAAAUUUUUAAUUUAUAAAUUAAUUUCUCGAAUUUAAAAGAGUUAAAUAAUUAUUAAAGUUAUUGUAGCAAAAUUAUUUUAAAUAAUUAUUUAGAAAUGAAAUGUUAAUCGUUUUUAAAUAUAUCUAGUUUUUAUAGAAAAAAAUUUAAUUUUAAAUUUAAAAAUUAUUUAAUUAAUUUAUUAAUUAAAUAAUUAUUUUAAUUUUAUAAUUUAAGGGAUAAGCUUUAAAUUAAAAUUUUAUAAUAUUAAAUUUUUAUUUUGAAAAUUUUAUAAUUUAUAUUGUUAAUAAAUUUUAUUUUGUUAUAAAUAAUUUCAUUUUUUUAAAAUUUAAAUUUUAUUUAAUUUUUUAUAUAAAAUUUAUUUAUAAUUAUAUAAAGUUAAUUAUAAUGAUAAAAUUAGUAUAUUAUUUAAUAUUAAAUUAAAAUUAAUUUUUGAUUAAUAAUUAAAUUAAUUAAAAGGAAUUCGGCAAAUAUUUAUUUUCACUUGUUUAUCAAAAACAUGUCUUUUUGUUAUUUAAUUUAAAGUCUAAUCUGCCCACUGAUUUAUAAAAAUUGAAGGGCUGCAGUAUAUUGACUGUACAAAGGUAGCAUAAUCAUUAGUCUCUUAAUUGGUGACUUGUAUGAAAGAUUGGAUGAAAAAUAUACUGUCUCUUAAUUAAUAUAUAGAAUUUAAUUUUUUAUUUAAAAAGUUAAAAUAAUUUAAAAAGACGAGAAGACCCUAUAGAGUUUAAUAAAUUAUUUUAUGAAAGUUUUAUUUAUAAUUACUAAUAAUUUUAUAAAUUUAUUUAUUUUGUUGGGGUGAUAAAAAAAUAAAUUUAACUUUUUUUAAGUAAUUUACAUGAAUAAGUGAUUAAU